RNAcentral lists this ribosomal RNA (334 nucleotides) under uncultured Eubacteriales bacterium. Its description in RNAcentral is "bacterial SSU rRNA". It matches the Rfam family "Bacterial small subunit ribosomal RNA", at positions 94 to 429 of the family's 1533-position model. Lineage: Bacteria; Bacillati; Bacillota; Clostridia; Eubacteriales. The record is from RNAcentral.
AGUGGCGGAUGGGUGAGUAACGCGUAAGAAACCUGCCUUUCACACCGGGAUAGCAGCUGGAAACGGCUAUUAAUACCGGAUGACACUUUUUCCCCGCAUGAGGAAGAGGUUAAAGAAUUUCGGUGAAAGAUGGUCUUGCGUCUGAUUAGCUAGUUGGUGGGGUAACGGCCUACCAAGGCGACGAUCAGUAGCCGGCCUGAGAGGGUGUACGGCCACAUUGGGACUGAGACACGGCCCAAACUCCUACGGGAGGCAGCAGUGGGGAAUUUUGCACAAUGGAGGAAACUCUGAUGCAGCGACGCCGCGUGAACGAAGAAGGUCUUCGGAUUGUAAA